UUAGACGGGGCCCGCACAAGCGGAGGGAACAUGUGGUUUAAUUCGAUGAUACACGAGGAACCUUUACCCGGGCUCGAACGGUGCAGGAAUAUGGUAGAGAUAUCAUAGCUAGCAAUAGUCUGUUAUCGAGGUGCUGCAUGGUUGUCGUCAGCUCGUGCCGUGAGGUGUCGGCUUAAGUGCCAUAACGAGCGCAACCCUUGUCGUUAGUUACCAUCAAGUAAAGUUGGGGACUCUAGCGAGACUGCCACCGUAAGGUGUGAGAAGGGGGGGAUGACGUCAAAUCAGCACGGCCCUUACGUCCGGGGCGACACACGUGUUACAAUGGUAGGUACAGAGGGGCGCUAUCCAGUGAUGGAGUGCGAAUCUCAAAAACCUAUCUCAGUUCGGAUUGGAGUCUGCAACUCGACUCCAUGAAGUUGGAUUCGCUAGUAAUCGCGCAUCAGCCAUGGCGCGGUGAAUACGUUCCCGGGCCUU
This 474-nucleotide ribosomal RNA is filed under the name uncultured Rikenellaceae bacterium. Its description in RNAcentral is "bacterial SSU rRNA". It matches the Rfam family "Bacterial small subunit ribosomal RNA", at positions 916 to 1381 of the family's 1533-position model. The record is from RNAcentral. Lineage: Bacteria; Pseudomonadati; Bacteroidota; Bacteroidia; Bacteroidales; Rikenellaceae.